CCUACGGGAGGCAGCAGUGAGGAAUAUUGGUCAAUGGGCGAGAGCCUGAACCAGCCAAGUCGCGUGAAGGAUGACGGCCCUACGGGUUGUAAACUUCUUUUGUCAGGGAGCAAUUGGGUCCACGCGUGGGCUUAGCGAGAGUACCUGAAGAAAAAGCAUCGGCUAACUCCGUGCCAGCAGCCGCGGUAAUACGGGGGAUGCGAGCGUUAUCCGGAUUUAUUGGGUUUAAAGGGUGCGUAGGCGGAAUAUCAAGUCAGCGGUAAAACUUCGGGGCUCAACCCCGUCGUGCCGUUGAAACUGAUGUUCUUGAGUGGGCGAGAAGUAUGCGGAAUGCGUGGUGUAGCGGUGAAAUGCAUAGAUAUCACGCAGAACUCCGAUUGCGAAGGCAGCAUACCGGCGCCCAACUGACGCUGAAGCACGAAAGCGUGGGUAUCGAACAGGAUUAGAUUCCCUUGUAGUC
RNAcentral lists this ribosomal RNA (460 nucleotides) under uncultured bacterium. Its description in RNAcentral is "partial 16S ribosomal RNA". It matches the Rfam family "Bacterial small subunit ribosomal RNA", at positions 338 to 795 of the family's 1533-position model. The record is from RNAcentral.